Molecule: transfer RNA, 77 nt
Filed under: Anaeroplasma bactoclasticum
Lineage: Bacteria; Bacillati; Mycoplasmatota; Mollicutes; Anaeroplasmatales; Anaeroplasmataceae
Also listed under: 4 other names
Description: tRNA-Met
Rfam family: tRNA
About the family: Transfer RNA (tRNA) molecules are approximately 80 nucleotides in length.
Source: RNAcentral
GGCUCUGUAGCUCAGUUGGCUAGAGCGUGCGGUUCAUACCCGCAAGGUCGUGGGUUCGACCCCCUCCGGAGCCACCA